GAGGGUAUAGCUCAGUAGUAGAGCACAUGCUCAGUCUGCAUGAGGUCCUGGAUUCAAUUCCCAGUACCUCCA
This 72-nucleotide transfer RNA is filed under the name Camelus bactrianus (Bactrian camel). It matches the Rfam family "tRNA". Rfam says of the family: Transfer RNA (tRNA) molecules are approximately 80 nucleotides in length. Their secondary structure includes four short double-helical elements and three loops (D, anti-codon, and T loops). Further hydrogen bonds mediate the characteristic L-shaped molecular structure. tRNAs have two regions of fundamental functional importance: the anti-codon, which is responsible for specific mRNA codon recognition, and the 3' end, to which the tRNAs corresponding amino acid is attached (by aminoacyl-tRNA synthetases). tRNAs cope with the degeneracy of the genetic code in two manners: having more than one tRNA (with a specific anti-codon) for a particular amino acid; and 'wobble' base-pairing, i.e. permitting non-standard base-pairing at the 3rd anti-codon position. The record is from Rfam by way of RNAcentral. RNAcentral also lists the same sequence under 2 other names. Lineage: Eukaryota; Metazoa; Chordata; Mammalia; Artiodactyla; Camelidae.